UAUUUAAUAAGGUUUUCAAAUAUUUUAAUAGGUUUAUCUUCUGGAUUUCAAUUUAAAAAAUUUAGUUGUGUUAAAACUCUCUGAUUGGAAAAUGUUUUGCAUGAUGCUUGUUUCCUCACCCAAAAUUUCCGGACUUACAUUUUUAGCAGAACUACCAUAGAUUGCGCAAACUCCUCAUGCACGAUGUGUCUUUUCCGCUGGACUUCAGCAGGACUCAGUUGCGUACUGGAACUUAUACUCUGUUAUAAGAAAAUAAUUUCGUCUUGUACUUGUGUUGUGGUCUAUAGCACAAACUUAAAUAUUUCGUCUGCAUCAAAAAAAGAUAAUCAAGGUAUUUAGCAUGUUUCAUUAUUAAGUGUGAAAAAAUAUUAAAAUGUUUCAUUAAUAUUAAAAUCAUG
Molecule: non-coding RNA, 398 nt
Organism: Parasteatoda tepidariorum (common house spider)
Lineage: Eukaryota; Metazoa; Arthropoda; Arachnida; Araneae; Theridiidae
Source: RefSeq, a predicted model, not a curated record